CAUUCAAAAAUGUGUGUAGUUUAUGUGAACAUCAUUACUACCAGAUAUAUGUGUUUUAUGUCUUUUCAUGUGUUUUGACCAUCUCAUUUCCAAAUGUGUUAAUGUCAGUGUUAUGUUUUUAAAUGUAAUUAGAAAAGUGUUUCCAUGGUGCCAUAGUCAUAAAUUGUGUGAUGUUAAAAACAUUUUUAACACCAUUUCAGCAUCUCAUAAAAUGUCACCGUUACAUACGUAUAACAAUGUAAUCACAAACUUAUUUUGCUGUUUUUUCCAGACAAGUAAAAAAAAUGGCUGACCAUAAAAAGUAUAUGAAGGUUACUCGAGGAGGACCCACCUACAGAUUUAGACCUAAGGGAUUACGAAGAUGAAAUUUCCAAAAUACUUGGUCCAGACACAAUAACUGGCAUGGAAGGAAAUUUUGACACAGAUGCAACAGGACCAGCCAACACACAGGAGUCUGACAACCAACAGCAUAGUGAA
Molecule: long non-coding RNA, 477 nt
Organism: Xenopus laevis (African clawed frog)
Lineage: Eukaryota; Metazoa; Chordata; Amphibia; Anura; Pipidae
Exons: 2
Source: RefSeq, a predicted model, not a curated record